AUAGAAUAAAGUAGGUGGAGUCUUGUCGUUUCGGUCUUCUUGACUGGUCGGAGGGUUGGAGGCGGGCCUUGCUCUAGCCAGAGCAGAAGCCCCAUUGGUGCACAGCGGAGCCUUAUCCUGAGCAUCCGACCAAUAGAGGGGGUCAGUCUUGUGGCUGGGUGUAUGUGUUCUUGCGACGGAAUGUCUUUGUUUAUAUGAGCUAUGUGUAUGAAUAUUUAUAUAACACUUUGCUACUUGUCUUGGCCAGACGAUGUACAUCCCUCACUUAUAUUUGUCAGCUCUUGCACGCGCCUUGAGUAUAACACUGCCAUGGUUGGCUAAUUGCUAGCCACCUUACUAGUUAGGGCGUUAAUAGCUAGCUAAGAGACAAAAGAGAACACAAUCGAAUUGCAAAAAUCACUAACUGAACGGAUAAACUGAAUUUAACAAGAAUUAUUAAAAAAAAGCUAUAGGAAUAUGAUUAAUAUACUGAGAAUGAUAAAACGAGUGACUUCGAGGCUAGUAUGACUAGUCAGGCUGACAGGACGCUAUGUAUUAGGUAGGAAGUCGACGUUGUACAAAAUAUCUAUGGAACUAAUAGGAGCUGGCAGGGUGGGAAAUAACCUCAUAGGGCCUGUUUUUUCGUGAUUACUUCAAAACUACGGCAAACUGCUCGGGAAUAUGGUCAUAUUAUGAAACUGGGCUCCACGGCGGAGGCAAUGAACUAGUUAUCAGAAGAACAAAACAGUUAAUGUCAUGUGUCCAGCCUACGGUUGUCAUUGGUUGUUUCUUUGCAGCUAGCUAAGCUAACAUUAACUAAACAUCGAACUUUUGUACAUCGCUAUAUUCCGUACACUUUACCUUAUUUUAGCGCUUUAAUACUUCCAGAUCAACUGUAAUAUGAAUACCAUUGUAAAGCACAAUUUCUCCCCUUUCAAGCAAAAUCAAUGACGAGACCUUCAUGCUGCCCGCCUCUACAUGAUUGAAGAUAGCAAAGGAGCUCCACCAUGUCUUUUUUUAAAUGUCGGGUGGGGAAGCGGAAAGCUAUUGCGUGAAAGUCCUUCAUUCCAAAACCUGAAGCCCCCUGUCCUCAGCAGGAAAGACCAGGAAAAAGUGUUGGCUUAAGGCUCGGUGGGUGACCGGUAACAAUGAUUCAACCAAGCUGUUCCAGGCCUGGAGUGGCACGCUGGAACUUCCAGAGGCUUGUAGACCUGAAGCAGUGUGAUGUGAUCCAGAUCUGACAUCCCUAUUACCUCAACCACAGUCCUCACAGCUUAAGUCGUCUGCCCCUGCACCUGCUACACCAGCCACGACAGGUGAUACAGAUCUGCCACCCCCAGCAGUUCAGCUGCAGUCACAGCAGUCCUCUGCUGUGGUAUUUCAUUUACCGGCUGCACCAGUUCCUACUACACUGGCCAUGAAGGGAGAUACUAUUGAGGAGACCCAGAUGGAUACAGAUCUGCCAUGCACUCCACCAGUGCCUGACAGACUCAUCUCUGAGAAAACAGAGAUGGGUGGCUGACAAGGAAAAAUAAAACACAACACACACUCUCUCUCUCUGUCAUACACACUCACACACAUUAUUCCCAGUGUAAAUGAGUUGUAUUUACUUGUUUAUUUUAUGUUUGCUCAAUUUGAUUUUAGGAUUUGAGAUAUCUAUUCCUACAUAUCCAUUCUCAAUAUCUACAUAAUUACUCUAAAUAUCUAUCAAAUCAAAGUGUUAUUGAUAUUGUAAAAUACUUGCUUAAUUUGUAUAGUUUGAGGAAAUUCUGUGUGCUUUUUAAAAACAUGCCUCCCUCUCACACACACAUUAGACCCAAUGUAAAUACAUUGUUUAUUUUAUGUAUGCUCCAUUUUGUUUGAGGAUUGUCAAAUCAAAGUUUUUUUGUCACGUGUGCUGAAUACAACAUGUGUAGA
Oncorhynchus mykiss (rainbow trout) is the source of this 1896-nucleotide long non-coding RNA. RefSeq lists it as uncharacterized. NCBI's taxonomy places the organism in Eukaryota, Metazoa, Chordata, Actinopteri, Salmoniformes, Salmonidae. The record is from RefSeq and is a predicted model, not a curated record.